This 468-nucleotide ribosomal RNA is filed under the name uncultured bacterium. RNAcentral's name for it is "partial 16S ribosomal RNA". It matches the Rfam family "Bacterial small subunit ribosomal RNA", at positions 28 to 507 of the family's 1533-position model. The record is from RNAcentral.
GACGAACGCUGGCGGCGUGCUUAACACAUGCAAGUCGAACGGAAAGGCCCUGCUUUUGUGGGGUGCUCGAGUGGCGAACGGGUGAGUAACACGUGAGUAACCUGCCCUUGACUUUGGGAUAACUUCAGGAAACUGGGGCUAAUACCGGAUAGGAGCUCCUGCUGCAUGGUGGGGGUUGGAAAGUUUCGGCGGUUGGGGAUGGACUCGCGGCUUAUCAGCUUGUUGGUGGGGUAGUGGCUUACCAAGGCUUUGACGGGUAGCCGGCCUGAGAGGGUGACCGGCCACAUUGGGACUGAGAGACGGCCCAGACUCGUACGGGAGGCAGCAGUGGGGAAUAUUGCACAAUGGGCAGAAGCCUGAUGCAGCAACGCCGCGGGCGGGAUGACGGCCUUCGGGUUGUAAACCGCUUUCGCCUGUGACGAAGCGUGAGUGACGGUAAUGGGUAAAGAAGCACCGGCUAACUACGUG